Molecule: ribosomal RNA, 495 nt
Filed under: uncultured bacterium
Lineage: Bacteria
Description: partial 16S ribosomal RNA
Rfam family: Bacterial small subunit ribosomal RNA
Source: RNAcentral
GACGAACGCUGGCGGCGUGCCUAAUACAUGCAAGUAGAACGCUGAAGGAGGAGCUUGCUUCUCCGGAUGAGUUGCGAACGGGUGAGUAACGCGUAGGUAACCUGCCUGGUAGCGGGGGAUAACUAUUGGAAACGAUAGCUAAUACCGCAUAACAGUAGAUGUUGCAUGACAUUUGCUUAAAAGGUGCAAUUGCAUCACUACCAGAUGGACCUGCGUUGUAUUAGCUAGUUGGUGAGGUAACGGCUCACCAAGGCGACGAUACAUAGCCGACCUGAGAGGGUGAUCGGCCACACUGGGACUGAGACACGGCCCAGACUCCUACGGGAGGCAGCAGUAGGGAAUCUUCGGCAAUGGACGGAAGUCUGACCGAGCAACGCCGCGGGAGUGAAGAAGGGUUUCGGAUCGUAAAGCUCUGUUGUAAGAGAAGAACGAGUGUGAGAGUGGAAAGUUCACACUGUGACGGUAUCUUACCAGAAAGGGACGGCUAACUACGUG